Castor canadensis (American beaver) is the source of this 634-nucleotide non-coding RNA. The record is from RefSeq and is a predicted model, not a curated record. NCBI's taxonomy places the organism in Eukaryota, Metazoa, Chordata, Mammalia, Rodentia, Castoridae.
AUGGCUUGGCAGUACCUUCUCCUUUCCUCCUUUCACUUACCACUGACUCCUCCCCCAAGCCCAACCCAGACACCCACACUCAUCCUCCUCCUCCUGGCUGCCACCCUCAGGUGCCAAGAGCAGGAGCAAGCGCAGGCCACCAACUGGAGGGCCAUACUGAAGACCAUUGCAAUGGCAUCCAUAGGAUAGACACGUACCUGAACUCUGCCUUGGAACUGCUGGGGGGUAGGGGAGUGAGGAUGGGCUCUGCCAGUACAAAUGCAAUGAUGGAUCAAAGCCUUUUCCAUGCUAUGGAUAUAAACCCUCCCCACCAAAUGGAUAUGGCUCUCCAUUGUUUGGUGUUCAUCUUAACAUUGGCAUCCCUUCCCUGACAAAGUGCUGCAACAGACACGACAGGUGCAAUGAGACUUGUGGCAAAAACAAGAAUGACUGUGACAAAGAGUUCCAGUAUUGCCUCUGCAAGAUCUGCCGGGAUGUGCAGAAAACACUAGGACUAGGGCAGCAUGUUCAGGAAUGUGAAACAGCCAUGGAGCUCUUGUUUGACAGUGUUGUACAUUUAGGAUGUAAACCAUACCUGGACAGCCAAUGAGAUGCGUGUAGGUGUCUUUAUGAAGAAAAACUGAUCUUUAGAUAA